This is a long non-coding RNA of Rattus norvegicus (Norway rat), 4131 nucleotides long. RefSeq lists it as uncharacterized. The record is from RefSeq and is a predicted model, not a curated record. Lineage: Eukaryota; Metazoa; Chordata; Mammalia; Rodentia; Muridae.
AGUUCGAACCCUGGACUCCACAUGGAAAAAGGAGAGAAACAGCUCCAAAAAGUUCUCAAACAAUCUCUACCUGGGUAUUGAAGCUUAGGAUCGACGGGUUUUUAUUCUGACAAAUGAGGCCCAGGAGCAGAGAUACGAGUGACAGGCAACCAAGCUGAAGAGGAAGCUUUUGGAUCACGAAAGAAGCUUAACUUUUUUCCAAACAGUUCAGCCCUUCUUAGAUAAGCCAUCACAACACAGUCACGAGAUGGCUGCCUGAGGUCCACAAGGCUAAGUCCUCAACAGCCCAGAUCUGGCCAUCUGCUUGUAGGUGAACCACAGGGAAAAGAUAGGACCCUUUCUGUUCCGAGGUGACCAGAGCUUGCCCAGAGCUGUGAACAGCAUCCUAUAACCAUGACUGGAACAAACGAAGAAUUCUGGACAGUGGUGGCACACAUCUUUAAUCCCAGCUCUUGGGAGGCAGAGGCAGGUGAAUCUCUGAGUUUGAGGCUAGCCUGAUCUAUAGAGCUAGUUCCUGUAUAGCCAGGGCUACACAGGGAAACCCUGUCCCAAAAAACCAAAUCAAACCAAACCAAUUAAUCAAAACAAAACAGUCCCCGAAGCCAAACCAACCAACCAAAACAAAACAGCCCCCCAAAGCAAUAAAAACAACAUCAAACCAAACCAAACCAAAAAUCCUUAAAGUCAGACAAGGACCUCUUGAGAUGUCAUUUAGGUGCUGGAUUAACCAGUCCUAGAGCUGGGUAGAUCAUAUGAAAUGGCAAUCCCCUGUAGUGUUUAAGUCACCAACCAAAGCAAAAGGUGCAAUGGCAUUCCAUCUCCCCAUCUCCUGGACACUGGCUUCUUUGUUGAUCGUCUGUCAUUGAUGACCCACUGCCGAGUGGAGCUCAGCUUUGGAACUUUCAUCAGAGAUGACAGAAACUCUGGCCUCGAGUAGGCAUCUGGGUGGGAACGGAAAUGAGGCUUACUAACCUCACUCAGGAAAGCUGGAGGAGAGCCAUGGGUACCCGACAGUGAUGGCAGGAUGGAGGGGUCUGGUGUGUGAUCAUGACUUACAGACAGCAUGUCUGCACUCAAACAUUUGCUCAUCCAAGAAACGGUUUGGAAUUGACCGGAAAGGGCAGCUUGGCACGGAGACCUCAUGACAAUCAUGUGGGCACACUGGGCACCACAGUUCCCUCUCAGUCAGACUGGCAUGACAGGAGUGCGGCGUACAGACGUGGAGCCCACCGGCGGUGGGAACCUCUCUCCCGGUACAGGUUACCAUCAGUUCACAGUUUCUCAUCAGGGAACACUGCCUUGAAGCAGUGGUUCUCAAUCGAUGGGUCAUGACCCCUUCGGGGUUCAAAUGAUAUUUUCACGGGGGUCACCCAAGACCAUUGGAAAACACAGAUAUUUACAUUAAGAGUCACAAUAGUAGCGAAGUCACACAAGUAGCACUGAAAAUAAUUUUCCGGUGGAGGGGGUCACCACAACGUGAAACUGUAUUUAGGGGCGGCAGCGUUAGGAAGGCUGAGAGGAUGAAAGGAAUGGCCCUUGAAACACGGGCUUUCUUCCCCCUUUGUGCCCUGCGUUCUUGCUUCUUUGAUGAUGCCUAUCAGUAGGUUUUGCUUACCCUCCUGGCUUUUUAAAAUGAAAGCAGUUUCUACUCCAGCCUUCCCUCCCACGCACACUUUCUCACGAGCAGAUACACACUUACCAGAGCACUCCUAGACGUCUUGCAGAUCCACAUAUUUUGAGCAUGUACAUAAAACCAUUUAUAGGAGUUUAAUCCGUGAAUCAUAGACGGAAGAUUCCCAUCAGGAGCGAACAGUGGCCUCCAAAGGCUUGUGAAGUCCUCGUGGCAUCUGAAGGGAGAAAACUCAGCCCUCGGUGGGAGACUCGUGGGCUCACAGUCCAUUCUGUAUUUUAAUAUCAGAAACUCAGUUACAGCCUUUAGCCCAAGAAACAAUAAUCUGAUAGCACAUUAGCACCUUGUUUAGGGGUUGGCAUAGUUAAAAAUACUUGUUGAGCUGGUGAGAUAGCUUGGCAGGUAAAGACACACUGACUCUAAGCUUGACAACUUGAGUUCACUCCUCAGAUCCAUGCGGAAGAAGGAGAAAACCGAUUCUCCCAAGUGGCCCUCUGAGGGAAUGCCCACACAUAUACACAGCAAUAAAUAUGCAAUAUAAAUUUAGAAAUAUGUUUGCUGAGAGGAUGGGGAGAUAGCUCAGUUGGUACAGUACAUGUCAGGCAAGCGUGAAGACCUGGGUUUGAUCUCUGGCAUUCACAUGAAAACCCAGGAAUGGCUGCAUAUGUGCUCACAACUCUGGCACUGUGAGGGGCGGAGAGAGGAGGAAGGGUGUGGGAGUUUCCUGUCUCUCCCUAGCAGCCUAACUCCAGGCUCAGUGGGAGACGCAGUCUCAAGGGGAAAAAAGUAGAGGACACAGGAUAUAUUCCUCUAGCCUCCAUGCACAAACAAGGCCACAUGCGCUGGUGCAUUCAUACAUAUAUACUCCAUUUCAAUGGCUUCCUACCACACACAAGCCAGGAACUUUUAAUCCCAGAACUAGGGAGAUGGAGAAAGGAGAAUCCCUGGAGCAUGUCUGUCGACUACCCUAGACUGAUCAGCAAGCCUCAAGUCCCAGUGAGAGACACCCUGUCUCUAAGAACAAGGUGGACAGAUUCUGAGAGAAAUGCCUGGGGCUAACAUAUGGCAUAGGCAUGUGCGUGUGUGUGGUACACACACACACACACACACACACACACACACACACACGCACUUACGCACAUAUUCACACAUGCACACCCUCCCCCACAUAGGCAAACACACAAAUAGUCAGGACUGGAGUGCCACACCCUCCAGGGGGUUUUCAGGAUACAAUUUUACAAAGCAGAGCCUUAGAGAAAAUCAAUUAUUUCAGGAUAAAUCUCAAGCAUUCCAGAAUUGCCAAGCGCUAAAGCAAUCUUUAAAUUUUUUCACAGUUAAACUUCAACAGGGCCGUGGACAAUCUCCUGCAGACUGGAUGCAUUUUGGUAAAGGUUUGCCUUUAAUGUGUAACAUCGGCUCCACACGGAGAGCCUGGAGGGCUGGCCAGCACUGCCUCGCUGAGCGUCUCACACUGGCCCUUUUGCUCUCAAGUUAGUUUUACUGAAACACUAUCUUUAUGUGGGUCAGGGCUUCCUUUUUCCUUCAACACUUUUUUUUAUUUAAAAAAACAAAAACAAACAAAAAAAAAAAAAACAAAAAACAACCAACCAACAAAACCCCACUCUCUCAUUUCCAGAAAUUUCUGUACUUCUUACUUCCUGCUGGCUUACUCAGGAGCCCCUCCCCACCAGUGAAGCUGCAAGUUUCUCAAAACUGGUUAAGGUUUUGUGACUUUGCUGACUUAGGCUGAUCUUUGUUAAAUCCUUAGCUGGACAGUGGCUAGCUCCUUCCUGGCUCCUGAUGAGGAAUUUGAAUGGAUUUUAAACCGCACUGAUGAGUCUUGAGGAAUGCCUGCCCACUCUGUCCUGCUUCCUCUUUUGACCCCAGACUCGGCCCUCACUUCUGCGGAGUAGUUACCACUCCCCAUUUUGACCUGGACUUCAUCUGACUUCAUCCAGCCCAGUCAUGCCCCAAGGCACGGACUCCAUUGUUUCUAGACUCAUGCCUCAUACUAGAAACCAACCCGGAACCUCGGAAGCCAGAAGUCUGAGUUGAAAGUUCUGAUUGAGCCUUGCUCUCUCCAUCUGGAAGACAAGGAUCCAUUUACUAACAGGUCUAAAUAGACCUUGGCUAUUCUGCUCCUGUUAAGACUGAGAGAGGAUUGCAGAAUUUAUGGUCUUUUCUUUCACUUUACUGUUCAGUAACUCUAAACUUUCCCCAAUUUCCACCCCAUAUAUUUUCCCUCAGCCAUCCUGAGGCCAUAUCCUUGAGGCGAGAGCAUGUGUCACUGGCAGAGACCCUACCAUCUGGUCUACAGGGCUGUGGUGAGGAUGAACUGAGAAGCUACACUGAAGUCCCCAAGGAGGAUGGCGGUGCUUAUGAUGGCCUGCCACCUGUUCGACAGUGGACGGAGACUACCUCAAGAGUGGCUUUAGUGGCCACAGAAUACCUGAUCAGAUGCAACAGGUUAAGAAUAAAAGAAAAGUAAAGUGAAAAGGUGA